UACGUAGGGGCCUAGCGUUGUCCGGAUUUAUUGGGCGUAAAGAGCUCGUAGGCGGUCUGUUGCGUCCGCUGUGAAAACUCGGGGCUUAACCCCGAGCCUGCAGUGGAUACGGGCAGACUAGAGGUAGGUAGGGGAGAAUGGAAUUCCCGGUGUAGCGGUGAAAUGCGCAGAUAUCGGGAGGAACACCGGUGGCGAAGGCGGUUCUCUGGGCCUUACCUGACGCUGAGGAGCGAAAGCGUGGGGAGCGAACAGG
RNAcentral lists this ribosomal RNA (253 nucleotides) under uncultured bacterium. RNAcentral describes it as "partial 16S ribosomal RNA". It matches the Rfam family "Bacterial small subunit ribosomal RNA", at positions 524 to 776 of the family's 1533-position model. The record is from RNAcentral.